Non-coding RNA from Pelobates cultripes (western spadefoot toad), 205 nucleotides. NCBI's taxonomy places the organism in Eukaryota, Metazoa, Chordata, Amphibia, Anura, Pelobatidae. The record is from the annotation of a GenBank genome assembly.
UUUUGAAACUCCAUUCUUAGAGAACAAAGAUACUUGUUGAAAAUAAAUAAAUAAAUAUCAACAAGUGGGUGUUUUGAUGGCCAUAAUAAUGCCUGACCACCUGCCAUCGAUGGAAAGCCGAAUACCCCAAAAGGGGACCUCGUGAAACUAAAGAGAAACAGACAUACUUCCUACCCUGCAGCCCUCACGUCUGAGGUGCCUACGC